Molecule: ribosomal RNA, 460 nt
Filed under: uncultured bacterium
Lineage: Bacteria
Description: partial 16S ribosomal RNA
Rfam family: Bacterial small subunit ribosomal RNA
Source: RNAcentral
CCUACGGAAGGCUGCAGUGAGGAAUAUUGGUCAAUGGGCGGAAGCCUGAACCAGCCAAGUAGCGUGUAGGAUGACGGCCCUACGGGUUGUAAACUGCUUUUAUACGGGAAUAACGCGCCUUACGUGUAGGGCUUUGCAUGUACCGUAUGAAUAAGGACCGGCUAAUUCCGUGCCAGCAGCCGCGGUAAUACGGAAGGUCCGGGCGUUAUCCGGAUUUAUUGGGUUUAAAGGGAGCGUAGGCCGCAUGUCAAGCGUGCUGUGAAAUGUCCGGGCUCAACCCGGGCCUUGCAGCGCGAACUGGCGUGCUUGAGUCCGCGGAAAGCAGGCGGAAUUCGUCGUGUAGCGGUGAAAUGCUUAGAUAUGACGAAGAACCCCGAUUGCGAAGGCAGCUUGCUGCAGCGGAACUGACGCUGAUGCUCGAAAGCGCGGGUAUCGAACAGGAUUAGAUACCCUUGUAGUC